AAGACAAUUCUUUUAAGGAUCAUUUCCAUAGUCUGUGACUGGAGAAAUCGUGCACUAAAGAAUUUGGUCUCACAACCACGAGGAGCUGUGGCGUUUUUUCCCUGUGCGCGAAGCAGUCCGCAAACUUUGUUUUGUACAAUAGUUUGUAGGUAUUGAUGACCGUUCCCUUCUCCCACUGCGGGAGUUGUGGAGGGAGGAAACGCUGUCUGAGUGGU
Pristis pectinata (smalltooth sawfish) is the source of this 215-nucleotide small nucleolar RNA. RefSeq annotates it as small nucleolar RNA U3. NCBI's taxonomy places the organism in Eukaryota, Metazoa, Chordata, Chondrichthyes, Rhinopristiformes, Pristidae. The transcript has a single exon. The record is from RefSeq and is a predicted model, not a curated record.